Molecule: long non-coding RNA, 638 nt
Organism: Manis pentadactyla (Chinese pangolin)
Lineage: Eukaryota; Metazoa; Chordata; Mammalia; Pholidota; Manidae
Exons: 3
Source: RefSeq, a predicted model, not a curated record
GCAGAUGCUCCUCCUCCUGACGAAUCGUCAGAAGGUGAAUAGUAGUUUCACGCUACAUCACAGUGCCUACGUCACACGUCACCUCAUCACGUAGGCGUUUGAUCGUCUCACAAUCUCACAGGAAGAAGAGACUAUGAAUGGACUUAAUCAAGGCUCUUGAUUAUAGGAGAAAGCUGUGAUUAAGAUUUAAUAGUCAAUCAUGGCCAGAGAACUCCUUGCCAGCAGACACUGGACUGGCUGGAUGUGUGGUGCUUGCCUCUUUCAUGUGAUAAAGGACGCCUCUUCCCUUCCAACAGCUACAGGAAGUGAAAAUUGGGAAGCAGAUGCCAAGACAGGAUUAAACAUGCAAGGAUUUCACUAGGGGACACUCCUGUGUGAGAGAAAAUGGCCAGAAUAUAGGAAAAGGCUGGAGAGCAGAGGCUCAGCACGUACAUCACACCCCAGAGAAGAAAAGGCAUAAGGAAGCUUGUGUGGAAGCAUCGGAAACUGCCAGGCAUUUCAAGGAAGCUUUGUCAAGACCGCUGCAGAGUCUCUGGGGCAAAGUCAGAGGUCAGAGGAGUCCCGUGUCUCCCAGGGUCCCCGCCAAGCAUCCCCCCCUGGCUCGGCACAUUCACUGGCAGGUAGCCUCAUCUUCAAAU